Molecule: long non-coding RNA, 584 nt
Organism: Calidris pugnax (ruff)
Lineage: Eukaryota; Metazoa; Chordata; Aves; Charadriiformes; Scolopacidae
Exons: 4
Source: RefSeq, a predicted model, not a curated record
CUCUGCUGGGAUAUUGAUGUUUUUCCCAGGAUGUCCCUCUAAUGUGGGGGGAAAAAAGAACUGUAAAGAUCUAGUCUGAAGCCCAUGAGCCUGCACGGCCCAGUGGAAGGGAAGAAGGAGCCUGUGACAAACGUUUAUUACGGAGUAUGAAAAUCAGGAAGCUUUUUGUUCACUUCAUACAUCUCCUCCAACAAAGCCAGGCAUCAGCACCCCGGCACAGACUCCGGAGUGAUUAUUGUUACACAUGAUCUAUGGAGCAGAUAAAUUACAGCUUGAUUUUUAUAAGACAGGAGAAAACCCCCGCGGAACCAGCCAGCACAUGUUUCGUGGCAAGAUCAGGGCCUCAGACACCACAAACUCUUCCUUUUUGGGCUCAAGAUCCUGAGAAGCUGCGGAAAAUUUGGGCAGAAGAUCCUCUCAGCGUUGCACGGGACAGCAGACGUGACCUGCUCGGGGAUGUGGAGACACCUGGCACGGGGUCCUCAGUCUGGUCGGAUGGGAUGGAACAGGUGACCAUCAUGCUCUUGUAUUUUUUAACUUUGGGAAAAAAGGAAAUUUUUCUUUGGGAGUUAUGGGAGCUCUUG